AAGUUGUAACAAGAUUUCUGUAGGUAAACCUAUAGAAGGAUUAUUACCUUCUAGCUAUUUAAUAGCUUUCUAGGGGCUGUAGUUUCUGUAGUCUUUAACUACAUCUGUGUUUUUUUGCGUACUACAUAUUUUUCUUAGCGGGCUUGCUUGCUAGUUAAAUAAACUAAAACUCUUUGCAAUUGUAAUUAGCGUCUAAAAUUAUAUAAUAAUUUACAAA
RNAcentral lists this unclassified non-coding RNA (217 nucleotides) under plant metagenome. RNAcentral describes it as "partial contains small subunit ribosomal RNA and internal transcribed spacer 1". The record is from RNAcentral.